This 609-nucleotide ribosomal RNA is filed under the name uncultured bacterium. Its description in RNAcentral is "bacterial SSU rRNA". It matches the Rfam family "Bacterial small subunit ribosomal RNA", at positions 63 to 689 of the family's 1533-position model. The record is from RNAcentral.
CGCGCGAUAAGCGUAGCAAUACGCAGAAAGCGGCGUAAGGGAGAGUAAUACAUGGUUAGCUACCCUCGGGACUGGGAUAGCGGCGGGAAACUGCCGGUAAUACCAGAUGAUGUCUUCGGACCAAACGUGUGAAUCGGCCCGAGGAGGCGACCAUGUCCUAUCAGCUUGUUGGCGGGGUAAUGGCCCACCAAGGCAAAGACGGGUAUGGGGCGUGAGAGCGUGCCCCCACUCACUGGGACUGAGAUACUGCCCAGACACCUACGGGUGGCUGCAGUCGAGAAUCUUCGGCAAUGGGCGCAAGCCUGACCGAGCGACGCCGCGUGCGGGAUGAAGGCCUUCGGGUUGUAAACCGCUGUCGUAGGGGAGGAAGGCUCCGUGCAGAACGGAGUUUGACCGAUCCUAGGAGGAAGGGCCGGCUAAUCUCGUGCCAGCAGCCGCGGUAAUACGAGAGGCCCAAACGUUAUUCGGAUUUACUGGGCUUAAAGAGUUCGUAGGCUGCACAGAAAGUAGGGUGUGAAAGCCCUCGGCUCAACCGAGGAAUUGCGCUCUAAACUGCUGUGCUUGAGGAACCUAGAGGUGAGCAGAACUGAUGGUGGAGCGGUGAAAUGC